This 30-nucleotide non-coding RNA is filed under the name Homo sapiens (human). Lineage: Eukaryota; Metazoa; Chordata; Mammalia; Primates; Hominidae. The record is from RNAcentral.
UGCAAGUGAAGGAAGCUUUCCCCUGAGGUU